Bos grunniens (domestic yak) is the source of this 1735-nucleotide long non-coding RNA. The record is from Ensembl. Lineage: Eukaryota; Metazoa; Chordata; Mammalia; Artiodactyla; Bovidae.
AUGGGGUCACCCCACCUGCAGGUGCAUGUCGGUUCCUGGAGAGCCCCGCCUCCACUCCCGCCUUUCUGGGUCCUGCCCGCAGGUCCUGGGCCUGGCGUGCCAGCUGCUGUGAGCCGACAGCAGGGAGCUGGUCCGGGGCUGGUCGUGACCUCGGGGCUCGGAACAAGCCCCUGGUCCCGGGUGGAGAGACGCUGCCUCUCCCAGGAUCGCUGCGCCCUGGCCAUGGGGCUCAGUGUUCCCAGGGGCCCCUCUGUGCAGCGGAGCCCUGGUCUCCCGGGCCUGCUGUCACGCCGGGCUGUCCCCACGCAGGGUCUUCGGGCCAGGCUAUGUGCCCGCCACUCAACAGGGCCCCGAGCUGUGCCUGCUCUGCACUCAGCGGUGACUGUGGUGUCCGCUUCGCUUCACCUGCCUCCACUGCCAGCGGCAGUGCCGGCAUUCCCACGCCCGAGGACUGAGCCGUGUCCUCUGCCCACAGUGCCUGAGGUCCUCCAGCUGAGCGACGCCCUGCGGACGCACGCCCUGCCCGAGCUGGGGUGCGGCUGGAAGACCACGAAGGUCUGCCCACCGUGGUCAAGCUGGUGGACAGAGACGCCUUACUGAGAGAGAGAGAAGACAAGAAAGGGUGAGUGAGGCCGCAGGGGCCGGGCUGGCCGUGUGCUGGCGCGAUGACCACGGGCGGUGUGCACUGCACACGGAGGAGUCAGUGUUUCCAGUCUUACUAAGCCCGGUGUUUGUAAACGUUGAAAGGGAGGACGAACAAGAUAGGCAACCACUUGGCAAUUAAACAACAACAGAAUCAGCUCCUAACGAAGAGCUGGAGCGUGAGGGAAGGUCCGUUGCUUCUGGUGACCUGCAGACGUGUGGUCCCACCUGCCGGUCACCUGAAGUGUCACCCCGGCCCGGGAGUGAGCGUGUCUCACCUCCAUCCUCCCCGCCCCCGGGUGAGCGUGUCUCACCUCCAUCCUCCCUGUCCCCUGGGGUGAGCGUGUCCCUCCAUCCUCCCCUGGCCCACGGGUGAGCGUGUCCCUCCAUCCUCCCUUGUCCCCGGGAUGAGCGUGUCCCUCCAUCCUCCCCAUCCACGAGGGUGAGCGUGUCUCACCUCCAUCCUCCCUGUCCCCUGGGGUGAACUCACCUCCAUCCUCCCAUCCCCUGGGGUGAACUCACCUCCAUUCUCCCCGCCCCUGGGGUGAGCGUGAUCUCACCUCCAUCCUCCCGUCCCGGGGUGAGCGUGUCUCACUCUCCAUCCUCCCGUCCCGGGGUGAGCAUGUCUCACCUCCAUCCUCCCGUCCCGGGGUGAGCGUGUCUCACUCUCCAUCCUCCCUGUCCCCAGGGGUGAACAUGUAUCACCUCCAUUCUCCCCAUCCCCGGGUGAGCGUGUCUCACUCUCCAUCCUCCCUGUCCACGGUGGUGUGCUUGUCUCACUCUCCAUCCUCCCUGUCCCCGGGUGAGCGUGUCUCACCUCCAUCCUCCCGUCCCGGGGUGAGCAUGUCUCACCUCCAUCCUCCCUGUCCCCAGGGGUGAGCAUGUCUCACCUCCAUCCUCCCUGUCCCCAGGGGUGAGCAUGUCUCACCUCCAUCCUCCCGUCCCGGGGUGAGCGUGUCUCACUCUCCAUCCUCCCUGUCCCCGGGUGAGCGUGUCUCACUCUCCAUCCUCCCUGUCCCCAGGGGUGAGCAUGUCUCACCUCCAUCCUCCCUGUCCCCGGGUGAGCGUGUCUCACUCUCCAUCCUCCCUGUCC